RNAcentral lists this ribosomal RNA (547 nucleotides) under uncultured bacterium. RNAcentral describes it as "bacterial SSU rRNA". It matches the Rfam family "Bacterial small subunit ribosomal RNA", at positions 34 to 609 of the family's 1533-position model. The record is from RNAcentral.
AGCUGGCGGCAUGCCUAAUACAUGCAAGUCGAACGCUUGGCUCUGGUUCGCUGGGGCCAAGAGUGGCGCACGGGUGAGUAGCGCGUGGGAACCUGCCCUGUUGUGGGGGAUAACCGAGGGAAACUUCGGCUAAUACCGCAUGCGCCCCGGGAAACCGGGGGAAAGAUUUAUCGCAGCAGGAGGGGCCCGCGUCGGAUUAGCUUGUUGGUGGGGUAACGGCCCACCAAGGCGAUGAUCCGUAGCUGGUCUGAGAGGAUGAUCAGCCACACUGGGACUGAGACACGGCCCAGACUCCUACGGGAGGCAGCAGUAGGGAAUAUUGGACAAUGGGCGCAAGCCUGAUCCAGCAAUGCCGCGUGAGUGAUGAAGGCCUUCGGGUUGUAAAGCUCUUUCGCCCGCGACGAUGAUGACGGUAGCGGGAGAAGAAGCCCCGGCUAACUUCGUGCCAGCAGCCGCGGUAAUACGAAGGGGGCGAGCGUGGUUCGGAUUUACUGGGCGUAAAGGGCGCGUAGGCGGCGCCGGAAGUCGAGUGUGAAAGCCCCGGGCU